RNAcentral lists this ribosomal RNA (254 nucleotides) under uncultured bacterium. RNAcentral's name for it is "partial 16S ribosomal RNA". It matches the Rfam family "Bacterial small subunit ribosomal RNA", at positions 524 to 776 of the family's 1533-position model. The record is from RNAcentral.
CACGUAGGGGGCAAGCGUUGUCCGGAUUUAUUGGGCGUACAGAGCUCGUAGGUGGUUCGGUAAGUCAGGUGUGAAACCUCCAGGCUCAACCUGGAGACGCCACUUGAUACUGCUGUGACUGGAGUCCGGUAGGGGAGCGUGGAAUUCCUGGUGUAGCGGUGAAAUGCGCAGAUAUCAGGAGGAACACCAGCGGCGAAGGCGGCGCUCUGGGCCGGUACUGACACUGAGGAGCGAAAGCGUGGGGAGCGAACAGG